This 435-nucleotide ribosomal RNA is filed under the name uncultured bacterium. RNAcentral's name for it is "bacterial SSU rRNA". It matches the Rfam family "Bacterial small subunit ribosomal RNA", at positions 29 to 507 of the family's 1533-position model. The record is from RNAcentral.
AACGAACGCUGGCGGCAGGCCUAACACAUGCAAGUCGAGCGCACUCUUCGGAGUGAGCGGCGGACGGGUUAGUAACGCGUGGGAAUAUACCCGGUACUAAGGAAUAGCCACUGGAAACGGUGAGUAAUACCUUAUACGCCCUUCCGGGGGAAAGGAUAUAUCGGUAUCGGAUUAGCCCGCGUUAGAUUAGAUAGUUGGUGGGGUAAUGGCCUACCAAGUCUACGAUCUAUAGCUGGUUUGAGAGGAUGAUCAGCAACACUGGGACUGAGACACGGCCCAGACUCCUACGGGAGGCAGCAGUGGGGAAUCUUAGACAAUGGGCGCAAGCCUGAUCUAGCCAUGCCGCGUGAGUGAUGAAGGCCUUAGGGUCGUAAAGCUCUUUCGCCAGGGAUGAUAAUGACAGUACCUGGUAAAGAAACCCCGGCUAACUCCGUG